CAGCCCACACUUCUUGAAGGAGUUUCCAUCCAGUUUUAGCACGAUCCAAGCAGCAAGCUUGCAUCAACAUCUGAACUAGCACACGUGAUUCAUUUCUUCCCACGUACAAAAGAGCUGCAGCAGCCUACAUUUAUCUAAACCUCACGCUCCAGCAUCUUCACAGCCCACACUGCAACAACGUUUUUCCUCUCCAGCACACAGCCUUCACGACCCAACAACCUCAUCCAGCUCACGGCCUGCACCUCCAAAUAUUUGAAUCAAGAAGCUUGAGCAAAGGUGGCUGCAAAAUGAGAAUCACGCUGCAGCUAGCUGAAUCAUCUUGGGCCGAGGUCGUUUCAUUUGAAGGAUACGUCCAACAAACAAGACCUCUAGUAUUGGCAGCAUCCAACACGCUGUCCACUUGGCUUUUCUUUGAACAAUCCUAUUAAAUAGAAAAGAAGUAGCACAUGCUGAUUUAUUACUUGGAAGAAGGUGCAUACAAGAGAAAAAAAAUGGCAUGGGCUGGAAAUAAAAUGGCUUGCAACAAGCGGCCCAUGGGACGUCCAAAGGAAUAGGCACGCCACAUUGAAAGACGGAUUGGUAAUUUAAAGGAGAGGACACAAAACCCUAGGGAUAUUUUUAUUCCUAGGACCAGCCGUCAAACAGAUAUAUCUUUUACACUUUUCUUUUUU
RNAcentral lists this long non-coding RNA (671 nucleotides) under Vigna radiata. RNAcentral describes it as "long non-coding RNA (VRAD_LNC002738)". Lineage: Eukaryota; Viridiplantae; Streptophyta; Magnoliopsida; Fabales; Fabaceae. The record is from RNAcentral.